AUUUAUUUAGUAUAACAAGUAUAUUUGAUUUCCAAUCAAAAGGUCUACAAUUAUUAGAAUAAAUA
Molecule: transfer RNA, 65 nt
Filed under: Cheddikulama straminea
Lineage: Eukaryota; Metazoa; Arthropoda; Insecta; Mantodea; Toxoderidae
Description: tRNA-Gly
Source: RNAcentral